GGACCUGACUGCUAUCGGAUUGAUACUAAGCCAUGCGAGUCAUUGUAGCAAUACAAGGCAGACGGCUCAGUAACGCGUAGUCAACCUACCCUAUGGACGGGAAUAACCUCGGGAAACUGAGUAUAAUGCCCAAUAGAACAUUAUGCCUGGAAUGGUUUAUGUUCCAAAUGAUUUAUCGCCGUAGGAUGGGACUGCGGCCUAUCAGUUUGUUGGUGAGGUAAUGGCCCACCAAGACUAUUACAGGUACGGGCUCUGAGAGGAGUGGCCCGGAGAUGGGUACUGAGACACGGACCCAGGCCCUAUGGGGCGCAGCAGGCGAGAAAACUUUGCAAUGUGCGAAAGCACGACAAGGUUAAUCCGAGUGGUUUCUGCUAAAGGAACCUUUUGUCAGUCCUAGAAACACUGAUGAAUAAGGGGUGGGCAAGUUCUGGUGUAAGGG
Molecule: ribosomal RNA, 439 nt
Filed under: uncultured archaeon
Lineage: Archaea
Description: bacterial SSU rRNA
Rfam family: Archaeal small subunit ribosomal RNA
Source: RNAcentral